GUGGGGAAUUUUGGACAAUGGGCGCAAGCCUGAUCCAGCAAUGUCGCGUGUGUGAAGAAGGCCUUCGGGUUGUAAAGCACUUUUGGCAGGAAAGAAAUAGCGCGUGCUAAUACCAUGCGCGAAUGACGGUACCUGCAGAAUAAGCACCGGCUAACUACGUGCCAGCAGCCGCGGUAAGACGUAGGGUGCAAGCGUUAAUCGGAAUUACUGGGCGUAAAGCGUGCGCAGGCGGUUUUGUAAGACAGGUGUGAAAUCCCCGGGCUCAACCUGGGAACUGCACUUGUGACUGCAAGGCUAGAGUGUGUCAGAGGGAGGUGGAAUUCCGCGUGUAGCAGUGAAAUGCGUAGAGAUGCGGAGGAACACCGAUGGCGAAGGCAGCCUCCUGGGAUAACACUGACGCUCAGGCACGAAAGCGUGGGGAGCAAACAGGAUUAGAUACCCCUGUAGUCC
This 450-nucleotide ribosomal RNA is filed under the name uncultured bacterium. Its description in RNAcentral is "partial 16S ribosomal RNA". It matches the Rfam family "Bacterial small subunit ribosomal RNA", at positions 354 to 796 of the family's 1533-position model. The record is from RNAcentral.